AAAAAGGUCCCAUUAACAACAAACCUUUCAUGAGGAAGCUAUUCUGGUUCAUUAUCAAAAUGUGGUUUGUGUGACAAGGAUAUUAUGCCUGUGAAUAAUUUUUUUUUGUUUUGUCAAGGUGAUUUUAUUGGCUACAGCUUAGCUCAAUGAAUCAUAGCAUUGGGACUUCAGUGUCUUGACUUUAUUUUGUAAAAAUUAAUAGCCUCUGCAAAUUUAUGGGCAUAUAUGAUUGGCAAGGAUUUCCGUAAAAGGGAAUGUACAUGCAUAUAUGCU
RNAcentral lists this unclassified non-coding RNA (273 nucleotides) under Hevea brasiliensis (rubber tree). Lineage: Eukaryota; Viridiplantae; Streptophyta; Magnoliopsida; Malpighiales; Euphorbiaceae. The record is from RNAcentral.